UACAAUACUCCUAACAUUAGUAAUUUAUAGAGUUUUUUACUGUAUGUUUCAAUGAUAUAAUUAGCUAAAUGAAGAUUUUGGUACUAGUUAAAUAACUAAAAUAUUAUUAAAAUUAAUUUCUUAUCUCAGAUAUUGCCAUUUACCAACGCGCCAAACACAAUACCUGCUCCGAAUAUGACUUAGCGACGUCGAAGUUUGCUAAAUCAGUAUAUCUCUUUAAUUUUCCCUCUCCAUG
This 235-nucleotide long non-coding RNA is filed under the name Brassica napus (rape). RNAcentral's name for it is "long non-coding RNA (BNAP_LNC017399)". The record is from RNAcentral. Lineage: Eukaryota; Viridiplantae; Streptophyta; Magnoliopsida; Brassicales; Brassicaceae.